AGCGAACGCUGGCGGCAGGCUUAACACAUGCAAGUCGAGCGGACCUUUCGGGGUCAGCGGCGGACGGGUGAGUAACCCGUGGGAACGUGCCUUCCGGUUCGGAAUAACCCUGGGAAACUAGGGCUAAUACCGGAUACGCCCUUAUGGGGAAAGGUUUACUGCCGGAAGAUCGGCCCGCGUCUGAUUAGCUAGUUGGUGGGGUAACGGCCUACCAAGGCGACGAUCAGUAGCUGGUCUGAGAGGAUGAUCAGCCACACUGGGACUGAGACACGGCCCAGACUCCUACGGGAGGCAGCAGUGGGGAAUAUUGGACAAUGGGCGCAAGCCUGAUCCAGCCAUGCCGCGUGAGUGAUGAAGGCCUUAGGGUUGUAAAGCUCUUUUAUCCGGGACGAUAAUGACGGUACCGGAGGAAUAAGCCCCGGCUAACUUCGUG
This 433-nucleotide ribosomal RNA is filed under the name uncultured bacterium. Its description in RNAcentral is "partial 16S ribosomal RNA". It matches the Rfam family "Bacterial small subunit ribosomal RNA", at positions 29 to 507 of the family's 1533-position model. The record is from RNAcentral.